GAUGAAGAACGCAGCGAAAUGCGAUACGUAAUGUGAAUUGCAGAAUUCAGUGAAUCAUCGAAUCUUUGAACGCAUAUUGCGCUCUCUGGUAUUCCGGAGAGCAUGCUUGUUUGAGUAUCAGUAAACACCUCAACUUCCAUAUCUUUUUUGAAAUGGGAGUUGGACUUGAGUGAUCCCAACGCUUUUCCUCACCGAAAAGUGGCGGGUUACUUGAAAUGCAGGUGCAGCUGGACUUUUCUCUGAGCUAUAAGCAUAUCUAUUUAGUCUGCCUAAAAAACAGAUUAUUACCUUUGCUGCAGCUAAAAUAAAGGAGAUUAGUUCUUGUGCUGACUGAUGCAGGAUUCACAAAGACAGCUUCGGCCGACUUUGUAAACUCGAUCUCAAAUCAAGUAAGACUACCCGCUGAACUUAAGCAUAUCAAUAAGCGGAGGA
This 432-nucleotide unclassified non-coding RNA is filed under the name soil metagenome. Its description in RNAcentral is "partial contains 5.8S ribosomal RNA, internal transcribed spacer 2, and large subunit ribosomal RNA". The stretch from base 1 to 120 matches the Rfam family "5.8S ribosomal RNA", at positions 35 to 154 of the family's 154-position model. The record is from RNAcentral.